GUGGUAUUCAAAUGGUCCAUUUCACCGACACCACAGCACAGACAGCCAUAGCCAGCCGCACAUAUCCCAGCAGCGCGGAGGAAGACCAUAACAAUUGAGUGCUGGGCUCCAGUUAACGUUAACCAAAGUCGUAGCACCAAGGACUGGGGCAUUUAUUGACGCCCGCAAUGUCAACAAUUGCAGCCAUGACGACGGCAGUCCCAACAGCAACUACUAACAGCAACAGUGCGGUAACAAAGUUUUUGAACUAAGAGAUACCCUGUAAUCAAAUAACAAAAUACUGCUAUAUGAAAAUAUUAGAAAUCUUAAACUGUUUAUGUUUAGAUUCUGUAUUAUGAUUAUAGCAAGGGACAGGACACAUUUCUUGUAAAUAAAAAACCGAUGAUUAUC
Non-coding RNA from Drosophila melanogaster (fruit fly), 390 nucleotides. NCBI's taxonomy places the organism in Eukaryota, Metazoa, Arthropoda, Insecta, Diptera, Drosophilidae. The record is from Ensembl.